RNAcentral lists this ribosomal RNA (198 nucleotides) under uncultured bacterium. Its description in RNAcentral is "partial 16S ribosomal RNA". It matches the Rfam family "Bacterial small subunit ribosomal RNA", at positions 335 to 525 of the family's 1533-position model. The record is from RNAcentral.
ACUCCUACGGGAGGCAGCAGCUAAGAAUCUUCCGCAAUGGGCGAAAGCCUGACGGAGCGACGCCGCGUGAACGAAGAAGGCCGUGAGGUUGUAAAGUUCUUUUCGGGAGGGGGAAUGACCGUGGCAGGGAAUGGCCGCGGGAUGACGUGAAUCCCGGAAUAAGCCCCGGCUAACUACGUGCCAGCAGCCGCGGUAAUA